UACAGAGGUCUCAAGCGUUGUUCGGAUUCAUUGGGCGUAAAGGGUGCGUAGGCGGCGCGGUAAGUCGGGUGUGAAAUCUUGGAGCUUAACUCCAGAACUGCCUUCGAUACUGGCGAUCUCGAGUUCGGGAGAGGUUAGUGGAACUGCGAGUGUAGAGGUGAAAUUCGUAGAUAUUCGCAAGAACACCAGUGGCGAAGGCGGCUCACUGGCCCGAUACUGACGCUGAGGUGCGAACGCGUGGGGAGCAAACAGG
RNAcentral lists this ribosomal RNA (253 nucleotides) under uncultured bacterium. RNAcentral's name for it is "partial 16S ribosomal RNA". It matches the Rfam family "Bacterial small subunit ribosomal RNA", at positions 524 to 776 of the family's 1533-position model. The record is from RNAcentral.